Molecule: long non-coding RNA, 3020 nt
Organism: Zingiber officinale
Lineage: Eukaryota; Viridiplantae; Streptophyta; Magnoliopsida; Zingiberales; Zingiberaceae
Exons: 3
Source: RefSeq, a predicted model, not a curated record
AACAACCUAGCCCUACUCCUCUGCACCGCCUGCAACCUAGCUUCCUCUGCACCGCCCGCGACCUAAUCCCUAACCCUUUAAAGCCACCAAAGCUUUCGCACGUCUUCCGAUGCCCCCACCCCGAUGAUGCUUGGAAGGCAAACACGCCCCCACCCUAACGAUCAAGUACUCCCUCACUUCGUCUCUCGAUUCCGACAUCUUCGAUCACUUUCUCGCCAACCUCGCUUCCCAAAUCGCCGUCGGAAAAUCUCACGCACAGUCAGCUACGGCAUGGUGUUCGUUGCUUUCAAUCGAAGCCCGACUUUCUACUUGGAGUUGCUGAGGCGCAUGGGAGUAGACGCACAACAUGUGGGUACACAGUAUGUGUGAUUGGGGAAGGCACUUCCUUUCUCUUUUCUCGUUGCAUGGGGUGAGAGCUCUUUUUAGAGCCUACGACAACGUCUUUUUUAGUGUCUCUGUUAUGUAUUUUUUAAGCUAUGUUUGUUUUAUGUAAAUGUAAAUUCUAUAAAUUUAGGCUAAAUUAAACACAAGAAACAAAUUCAAAUAGAAGUGGACUAUGAAAUUAUACAUUGUGAAGCUAAUCCAUUUUAUUAAUGCCUCAUAAUGGUAAAAGGUGAAUACGUUCGUCUCCAACGGCCCUGUCAACCUGUCCCAGGAUCAACACGGAGGAGGUAAAUCAUAGACGGUUAUUAGUCUUUGAGAUAAUGACUAGCACAUAAGGGAGGCAUUUACUCGACUUUGCCGAGAUUUAAAUAUCAGACCUCAUGAUGUCUCAUAAUGUCUUAUUAAUGCCUCAUAAUGUCCUUUAUUGCCCUGGUUAAUGUUAAAUUAUUAUGUCUGUGCCUAGCAAACAAUACAAGCUCAAUACUUGUAUCUGAUCAAUUAUUUAGAAGAUAUGCCAUAUAAACUUAAUAGAUCUUGGAACUCAAUCAUGUCUUGCUAAUGCUCCAAAUUCAGUUAUCAUUUCAAAGAUUAUGAAAUUUACAGAUUCCACACUAACCGUACAGAUCUUUGUCAAAUUCUUUUCCUUUGCAGCUUCCUGGUUCUUCAAAAUUACAAUAGUGCUGCCAACUUUAGUUAAGAAGCCUCCAAGAUGCAAUUAAUCCCUGCAUUUCACAUUUCAGGAACUAGAAUCAAAAGGUCAAUUUCAGAAAUAAAAUUGAUUUUUGGAUAUCUGGUUUCUCAAUUUCUAGUUUCAGAAAUCUAAGUUUAAGGGUGUUUUGGCUUGAAUCAUGAAGAGUUAUGUUUAUGGAAGAGUUUUAUUUAACACCGAAAUGAUGAGAGGUACUUGGGUAGGAUUAAGUCCACGUGGGUGGACUAAAUCUAAUUAAGUUCAUAUGAGUGAGCUUAAUCUCCAUAAGGUGGGCUUACAUUUAAUUAGCACACGCAAUUGAUUGUCAUUAAGGAAACUAAAUCCCAAUUAAGUGAUCUAAUACUUUAAUUUCAUAUAAAGAGAGUUUGGAUCAAAUUGAUAUGGAUUCAAUGUGUAGAUCCAAUAAUCCGCUUCAUUAACAUUGAUGGAUUGUUAAUAAGGGAUGAACUUUAUGAUGGAUAGUCCCUAUAGGUUGGGCUGGAUAUAUAAAGGAAGAGAUUGAUUCAAUUAGGGCAUGUUAAAUCUUGCUUUCUUCCUCUUGCUUCUCCUUCCCCAUUGAGAAGGACCUUUGGCUUGCUGGCUCAAUCCUAUGGAAGACUCUCGCUGCACUUGCAGGAUCUCCGGUGAUAGGUAAGAAGUAAUAGUCUUGCGAUAGAUUUAGUUCAUCUCUUCGUUAGUUAUUGUUUCAAUUUCAAUAUUACUUUAGAGACAGAUGAUAGUUAGAUCCUGGUGUAAAUGUAUCCUUUAAUUUAUUAUUGAUGUAUCACAAUUCUUACAUGUUGAACUUGCUAAACUUCAAGAUCGAGAGGUUGGAGAUGGGACAACAUCUAGUGCUUAUCCUUGCUGCUGAGUUACUUAAGGUGGCUUAGAGACUUCCUAUUGAGUUCUUUUUGCAGUUUUACAUUAUAUUGUGAAUUGUUGAUGGGUUGUUAUCCUUUGUUACAUAGAGCAAAUGAUCUUGUGAGAGAUAGGAUUCAUCCAAUGUUUAUAAUCAGUGGCUUCGGGGUAGUGAAUAACUAAACAUUUUAAAAAAUUUGUGUUUUUUUCUUCAGUAGUAGCCCAUGUACAGCAACAUUAGUUUCUAUAAGAAUUUUAAUUUAUAUAUAUAUAUAUCAGAGUAUAUGGUUUAUAAAAUAUGCCAAUUAUUGUUUCUCAAUAUCUCUUGAUAGCUUGUAAUGAGAGAGGCUUGCAAAUAUGUUGAAGAAAAGCUUUCUGUAAAGGUUGAAAAACUUGGCAAAGAAUCUCUUACAAACUGUGCAAAGACAAAAAUGUCCUCGAAAUUAAUUGCAAUUGACAGUGACUUUUUUGCAAAUUUGGUAAGCAGUGCACAUGUAUAUUAGUUAUGUUUGAUGCUCGUCAUUACCACCAAAAGAUUAGGUUUUUGAUUACAAGCAAUGAUCCAAAUGUUAUUUCUGUGGAGUUUCUAAGGUCUUAGAUCGCUUUAACUUCUUGAUCCAUCAAGUAGAAAGCUAUUUAUAUGGCAUACAAGAAGCAGUAUAUGUAACCAGUAUAGCAGUGCACAGUUUAAUAUGGUUUACCAUCCAAAAUACAAAUAAUUGAACAUUGGUAUUGCUUAAGACUGCAAAUUAAGUUUAUGUAAAGAUUGGGUGAAUCAACUGCAAGGUUAAAUAAGACAAUACAUCAGGUAGUAGUCUCCAUACUGACAUCACUACUGAUAAUCUGCCUCAAGUAUCAAUGACUUAUGAUGUGAUAUCUUUCCUUAUUUGAGUCAGUCAAUUAUAUGUGCUUGCCCUACGGAUGUAAUGGAAAUGAAACUGUAGGAUGGAUGCAAAGAUAAGUAAAUUGCUUCCACACUAAGAACUGAGGAUUGUGCAGGAUGGAAGAGAUGUAAAUCUACUUGGUCAAUAAAUUUUUUGAGCGUCCCUGUUUAUCUAUGGGUUUAAUUUGUUAGCUUAUUGUCUUUGUU